This 533-nucleotide ribosomal RNA is filed under the name Pseudomonas sp. RNAcentral's name for it is "bacterial SSU rRNA". It matches the Rfam family "Bacterial small subunit ribosomal RNA", at positions 217 to 742 of the family's 1533-position model. Lineage: Bacteria; Pseudomonadati; Pseudomonadota; Gammaproteobacteria; Pseudomonadales; Pseudomonadaceae. The record is from RNAcentral.
GCGAUUGAAUGAGCCGAUGUCGGAUUAGCUAGUUGGCGGGGUAAAGGCCCACCAAGGCGACGAUCCGUAGCUGGUCUGAGAGGAUGAUCAGCCACACUGGAACUGAGACACGGUCCAGACUCCUACGGGAGGCAGCAGUGGGGAAUAUUGGACAAUGGGCGCAAGCCUGAUCCAGCCAUACCGCGUGGGUGAAGAAGGCCUUCGGGUUGUAAAGCCCUUUUGUUGGGAAAGAAAUCCAGCCGGCUAAUACCCGGUUGGGAUGACGGUACCCAAAGAAUAAGCACCGGCUAACUUCGUGCCAGCAGCCGCGGUAAUACGAAGGGUGCAAGCGUUACUCGGAAUUACUGGGCGUAAAGCGUGCGUAGGUGGUCGUUUAAGUCCGUUGUGAAAGCCCUGGGCUCAACCUGGGAACUGCAGUGGAUACUGGGCGACUAGAGUGUGGUAGAGGGUAGCGGAAUUCCUGGUGUAGCAGUGAAAUGCGUAGAGAUCAGGAGGAACAUCCAUGGCGAAGGCAGCUACCUGGACCAACACUG